Molecule: ribosomal RNA, 524 nt
Filed under: Potamodytes sp. IR-2002
Lineage: Eukaryota; Metazoa; Arthropoda; Insecta; Coleoptera; Elmidae
Description: partial 16S ribosomal RNA
Rfam family: Archaeal large subunit ribosomal RNA
Source: RNAcentral
CGUCUUUUCUGGAUAAUAAUAUAAGAUUUAGCCUGCCCACUGAAAAUUUAAAUGGCCGCGGUAUUUUGACCGUGCAAAGGUAGCAUAAUAAUUAGUUUUUUGAUUGAAAGCUGGAAUGAAUGGCUGGACGAGAAAAUCUCUGUCUCUAAUUAAUUUUUAUUGAAUUUUAUUUUUGAGUAAAAAAGCUCAAAUUUUGUUAAAAGACGAGAAGACCCUAUAGAGUUUUAUAUUUAAUAUAUAGGGUAAUUAAAAGAAUUAAAAUUUUUUUAUAUAUUAAUUAUUUUAUUGGGGUGAUAAAAAGAUUAAAUAAACUCAUUUUUGUUUUUUUACAUUAAUAUAUGAAUAUAUGAUCCAUUUUUUGUGAUUAAAAGAUUAAAUUACCUUAGGGAUAACAGCGUAAUCUUUUUAGAGAGUUCUUAUCGAAAUGAAGGGUUGCGACCUCGAUGUUGGAUUAAAGUUAAUUUUUGGUGCAGAAGCUAAAAAAUUGAGUCUGUUCGACUUUUAAAACUUUACAUGAUCUGAGU